RNAcentral lists this unclassified non-coding RNA (240 nucleotides) under soil metagenome. RNAcentral's name for it is "partial contains 5.8S ribosomal RNA, internal transcribed spacer 2, and large subunit ribosomal RNA". The record is from RNAcentral.
AACCAUAGAAACCUGCGGAGUACCUGCGGAAGGAUCAUUACCGAGUGUGGCCCCAUUUUUAAAACAAAUAGGGGUACCUCCCGUCCUUUGCAGGGCCCUUUGGGGCUUUUUGAACUUUGCUUCGGCGGGUUUUAUCCCGCCGGAACACCCUCAAGAAAAUCUUUUUAAAAAUACUGUCGUCUGAGCAUUUACAAAAUAAAACAAAACUUUCAACAACGGAUCUCAGAUCGGAAGAGCACA